RNAcentral lists this ribosomal RNA (470 nucleotides) under uncultured bacterium. RNAcentral's name for it is "bacterial SSU rRNA". It matches the Rfam family "Bacterial small subunit ribosomal RNA", at positions 33 to 518 of the family's 1533-position model. The record is from RNAcentral.
ACGCUGGCGGCGUGCCUAACACAUGCAAGUCGAGCGAGGAGAUUCCUUCGGGAUGAUCCUAGCGGCGGACGGGUGAGUAACACGUGGGCAACCUGCCUCAUAGAGAGGAAUAGCCUUCCGAAAGGGAGAUUAAUACCUCAUAACAUUGCAGUUUCGCAUGGAACAGCAAUUAAAGGAGCAAUCCGCUAUGAGAUGGGGCCCGCGGCGCAUUAGCUAGUUGGUGAGGUAACGGCUCACCAAGGCGACGAUGCGUAGCCGACCUGAGAGGGUGAUCGGCCACAUUGGGACUGAGACACGGCCCAGACUCCUACGGGAGGCAGCAGUGGGGAAUAUUGCACAAUGGGGGAAACCCUGAUGCAAGCAACGCCGCGUGAGUGAUGACGGCCUUCGGGUUGUAAAGCUCUGUCUUCAGGGACGAUAAUGACGGUACCUGAGGAGGAAGCCACGGCUAACUACGUGCCAGCAGCGGC